CGGGGUGAGUAAUGUCUGGGAAACUGCCUGAUGGAGGGGGAUAACUACUGGAAACGGUAGCUAAUACCGCAUAACGUCCUCGGACCAAAGUGGGGGACCUUCGGGCCUCACGCCAUCGGAUGUGCCCAGAUGGGAUUAGCUAGUAGGUGGGGUAAUGGCUCACCUAGGCGACGAUCCCUAGCUGGUCUGAGAGGAUGACCAGCCACACUGGAACUGAGACACGGUCCAG
RNAcentral lists this ribosomal RNA (229 nucleotides) under uncultured bacterium. RNAcentral describes it as "partial 16S ribosomal RNA". It matches the Rfam family "Bacterial small subunit ribosomal RNA", at positions 104 to 334 of the family's 1533-position model. The record is from RNAcentral.